Long non-coding RNA from Oncorhynchus gorbuscha (pink salmon), 501 nucleotides. RefSeq lists it as uncharacterized. Lineage: Eukaryota; Metazoa; Chordata; Actinopteri; Salmoniformes; Salmonidae. The transcript is spliced from 4 exons. The record is from RefSeq and is a predicted model, not a curated record.
GUUCCCUUCUUUGUGAAGGAAUUGGAAAACCCCUGGUCUUUGUGGUUGAAUCUGUGUUUGAAAUUCACUGCUCGACUGAGGGACCUUACAGAUUCCAAUUACCAUGAGACGGUUGGAGUGCAUAGGGAAGAUGAGAUUGUCCAAAUUCAGAAGGGGUGCUGCUCAGGUCAUCUAUAAGUCUUUGCUAGAGAUCAAGAUGGAGAGGAGACGCAUGACUCAGACUGCUCCCCAUAUGCUGUGAGCAGAAGAGAGGAGGAGGGUCCCUAAUCACUUCUGAAGAUGACUGAAGUGAGAGAUCCUAUUACUGCACAGAACAGGGCCGAGGAACACUGCACAGAACAGGGCUGAGGAACAUGCUGAUGUUGCUGCCGAGCCCUAUUCUGUGGUCAUGCUCAAUACUGAAUAUGAGGCCUUUGACCCCCAGGCCACACAGACGUCAUGCACUUGACCACCUCAGGAUUGGAACGAAAGUAUGAAUUACUAACAACCAAUAGUUACUCA